RNAcentral lists this ribosomal RNA (443 nucleotides) under uncultured bacterium. Its description in RNAcentral is "partial 16S ribosomal RNA". It matches the Rfam family "Bacterial small subunit ribosomal RNA", at positions 338 to 795 of the family's 1533-position model. The record is from RNAcentral.
CCUACGAGCGGCAGCAGUGGGGAAUAUUGGACAAUGGGGGGAACCCUGAUCCAGCGACGCCGCGUGAGUGAAGAAGUAUUUCGGUAUGUAAAGCUCUAUCAGCAGGGAAGAAAGAAAUGACGGUACCUGACUAAGAAGCCCCGGCUAACUACGUGCCAGCAGCCGCGGUAAUACGUAGGGGGCAAGCGUUAUCCGGAUUUACUGGGUGUAAAGGGAGCGUAGACGGUGAGACAAGUCUGAAGUGAAAGCCCGGGGCUCAACCCCGGGACUGCUUUGGAAACUGCCUGACUGGAGUGCUGGAGAGGCAAGCGGAAUUCCUAGUGUAGCGGUGAAAUGCGUAGAUAUUAGGAAGAACACCAGUGGCGAAGGCGGCUUGCUGGACAGUAACUGACGUUGAGGCUCGAAAGCGUGGGGAGCAAACAGGAUUAGAUACCCUGGUAGUC